This 66-nucleotide transfer RNA is filed under the name Boa imperator. Its description in RNAcentral is "transfer RNA-Trp". The record is from RNAcentral. Lineage: Eukaryota; Metazoa; Chordata; Lepidosauria; Squamata; Boidae.
AGAAGCUUAAGUUAUAUAUAAACUAGUAGCCUUCAAAGCCACCAAAAAAGACCCAUUUAGCUUCUG